Molecule: RNA transcript, 464 nt
Organism: Mytilus trossulus (common blue mussel)
Lineage: Eukaryota; Metazoa; Mollusca; Bivalvia; Mytilida; Mytilidae
Exons: 3
Source: RefSeq, a predicted model, not a curated record
AAAGCCGUUUUAUAUCUUAGCAUUAUUAUGCCGGUUAUAAUGGUGAAUAUUACUCUACAUUAUUGAUAUAUGUUGAUAAAACUGUAUUGUAUUGCAAUAUAUAUUCAGAGAAUACUCGUAAUUGCCGUAAAGAAAGUGGGAACACAUCGAAUAUAGAACAAGUAUAGGACAUGCUUAUCCCGAUAGAAGGGGUAUAUGUUUAACAUUUUGUGGUACAUUCAGUAAACAUACAUGUCCUCAGGGGUACGAGUGUCGGAGUAAUGGAUGUGGACACGAAUGCUACAGACCAAUGAAUUUUCAAGCUCCAGCAAAUUGUAUUGCACCAUCAUGUGAAGGUCAAAGUCACUGUCCUGUAGGAUAUAAAGUGGAUAGUAAUGGUUGUGAUACUUGUGACUGUGAUUGGUCUGCUAUGAAGGAUUACUCUCAACUUGGAUAGUAAAAUAAAAGAAUCUUCAAUAUUCAAA